Long non-coding RNA from Gasterosteus aculeatus aculeatus (three-spined stickleback), 1018 nucleotides. Lineage: Eukaryota; Metazoa; Chordata; Actinopteri; Perciformes; Gasterosteidae. The record is from Ensembl.
GUGACAGCGCAAACACAAAUGUGAUUUUUGGACGCCCGAUGAAGCGGCGGAUGGGAUGGAUAGCAUGGCUACGAGGGCGGGACACCCCGAGGAGGAGGACGACCGACGACGCAGCUGACGGGACGGUCGAUACUUUGUCAAACAAGGCGAACCAUUCUGCGGCUGUUGUGACUUAAUGUUAUAUUAUUAUUGUUUCGUUUGAACCUAUAUGGAGGCUGGCCUCGGUAUGAAACACUUUCUCUGUGAAAGGACAAAGCAGGAAUUCUUUGACACACAGCAGAGACAAAAACAAUACGUGUUUCUUCCCCUCUUCUGUUUCUUGUCCAAAAAUUUAAAAUGCCCAGGCAGUGUUUGCAUGAGUUUGUCUUCACGGGUGACGUAAAGUGAGAUACCCCCCCCCCCCCUCCCCACCCUUCCUCCUCUCUUUCUCCCUCCUUUCCUUUCCUCCUCAAGGAAAAGCAACUCUCACUUGAAUAUUUGGCCUGUGUUUGACCUUGUUCGGACCUCCUCUGGUAAAAGGUGGAACUAUAGGCGAGGCAGCAGAAAUGUGAGAUUAUAAUAUAUGUGUCAUAGGCUAUGCUGAACUUUUCUGGUCAGGAUAACCCGAUAUGUAGUGUCCAUAUGUGGUAAAUAUGUCAUCUUUAACACAGUGAACAACACAGUGAGCGAAGAAUAAAUGACAGUAACACGAGAACUGUAUGCGAUCCGGUACGGGCACGUGUAAAAUAUGUUUAUACACAAGAAACAUGCAUUAUUUUUAUUAUUUAGUGGCUUUAUGCCUUGUGAGGAAUUUGUUCAUUUUGUAUUUUACUUUAUUUCCGUGUAUUAAAAAACCAUGUGCUUUCUGUAUGUAAUUUUAAUGUUUUUAUAACAGUGAAAGUGAACUUAACUGAGGCACCGGUUUCUUAAAAAAAAGAGAAUACUCAUGAAAUUGUUUUACUUUUUCCAUCACAUGUGAAACGUGAAUCCACUUAAACAAAAUGUUUUUCGUUCCUAUAAUAAAUUAACUAAAGUUUCA